RNAcentral lists this ribosomal RNA (501 nucleotides) under uncultured fungus. Its description in RNAcentral is "eukaryotic LSU rRNA". The stretch from base 188 to 341 matches the Rfam family "5.8S ribosomal RNA". The record is from RNAcentral. Lineage: Eukaryota; Fungi.
GCGGAAGGAUCUUACAAGUGAGGCUACCGAACGUUGGAAACAGCGGUUAGGAGCUUACACCCACCCGUGUUUACAUACUAUUGUUGCUUUGGCGGGCCGUGGCCUCCACUGCGGGCUCUGCUCGUGUGUGCCCGCAGAGGACCAAACUCUGAAUGUUAGUGAUGUCUGAGUACUAUCUAAUAGUUAAAACUUUCAACAACGGAUCUCUUGGUUCUGGCAUCGAUGAAGAACGCAGCGAAAUGCGAUAAGUAAUGUGAAUUGCAGAAUUCAGUGAAUCAUCGAAUCUUUGAACGCACAUUGCGCCCUGUGGUAUUCCGCAGGGCAUGCCUGUUCGAGCGUCAUUUAACCACUCACAGCCUAGCGUGGUAUUGGGGCACGCGGUCUCGCGGCCCUCAAAAUUAGUGGCGGCGCCGGUGGGCUCUAAGCGUAGUACAUACUCCCGCUAUAGAGUUCCCCCGGUAGCUCGCCAGAACCCCCGAAUUUUUUACAGGUUGACUCGAU